RNAcentral lists this ribosomal RNA (386 nucleotides) under uncultured bacterium. Its description in RNAcentral is "bacterial SSU rRNA". It matches the Rfam family "Bacterial small subunit ribosomal RNA", at positions 33 to 445 of the family's 1533-position model. The record is from RNAcentral.
UACGCUGGCGGCACGCCUAACACAUGCAAGUCGAACGAAGUAGCAAUACUUAGUGGCAGACGGGUGAGUAACAUGUAGGUAUCUGCCCUUUGGCCUGGAAUAACACGAGGAAACUUGUGCUAAUACCGGAUAAGUCUUUACGGAGAAAGCUUUAUGCACCAUUGGAUGAGCCUGCACUUGAUUAGUUUGUUGGUGGGGUAAUGGCCUACCAAGACUGUGAUCAAUAGCUGAUUUGAGAGGAUGAUCAGCCACAUUGGGACUGAGACACGGCCCAAACUCCUACGGGAGGCAGCAGUGGGGAAUCUUGCACAAUGGAGGAAACUCUGAUGCAGCGAUGCCGCGUGAGUGAAGAAGGCCUUUGGGUUGUAAAGCUCUUUCGUCGGGGA